This 491-nucleotide ribosomal RNA is filed under the name uncultured bacterium. Its description in RNAcentral is "partial 16S ribosomal RNA". It matches the Rfam family "Bacterial small subunit ribosomal RNA", at positions 29 to 507 of the family's 1533-position model. The record is from RNAcentral.
AGUGAACGCUGGCGGUAGGCCUAACACAUGCAAGUCGAACGGCAGCACAGUAAGAGCUUGCUCUUACGGGUGGCGAGUGGCGGACGGGUGAGGAAUACAUCGGAAUCUACUUUUUCGUGGGGGAUAACGUAGGGAAACUUACGCUAAUACCGCAUACGACCUACGGGUGAAAGCAGGGGAUCUUCGGACCUUGCGCGAUUGAAUGAGCCGAUGUCGGAUUAGCUAGUUGGCGGGGUAAAGGCCCACCAAGGCGACGAUCCUUAGCUGGUCUGAGAGGUUGACCGGCACACUGGGACUUGGGAAAGGGCCCAGCCCCGUCAGGGAGGAAGAAGUGGGAAUUUUGGGCAAAUGGGGGAAAGCCGGUCCAAGCAUUACGCGGGGGUUGAGGAGGCCUUCGGGUUGUAAAGCCCUUUUGUUGGGAAAGAAAAGCAGCAGGUUAAUACCCCGCUGUUCUGACGGUACCCAAAGAAUAAGCACCGGCUAACUUCGUG